GUGCCAGCCGCCGCGGUAACACCGGCAGCCCAAGUGAUGGCCGAUAUUAUUGGGCCUAAAGCGUCCGUAGCUGGCCGCGCAAGUUCGUCGGGAAAUCCACUCGCUUAACGAGUGGGCGUCCGGCGGAAACUGUGCGGCUUGGGACCGGAAGAUCCGAGGGGUACGUCCGGGGUAGGAGUGAAAUCCCGUAAUCCUGGACGGACCACCGAUGGCGAAAGCACCUUCGGAAGACGGAUCCGACAGUGAGGGACGAAAGCUAGGGUCGCGAACCGGAUUAGAAGCCCCGGUAGUCC
RNAcentral lists this ribosomal RNA (293 nucleotides) under uncultured bacterium. RNAcentral describes it as "partial 16S ribosomal RNA". It matches the Rfam family "Archaeal small subunit ribosomal RNA", at positions 455 to 747 of the family's 1478-position model. The record is from RNAcentral.